GACGUAGGGCGCGAGCGUUGUCCGGAUUUAUUGGGCGUAAAGAGCUCGUAGGCGGCUUGUUGCGUCAGCUGUGAAAACCCGCAGCUCAACUGUGGGCUUGCAGCUGAUACGGGCAGGCUUGAGUUCGGUAGGGGAGACUGGAAUUCCUGGUGUAGCGGUGAAAUGCGUAGAUAUCUGGAGGAACACCGGUGGCGAAGGCGGCAGCCUGGACCGACACUGACGCUGAGGAGCGAAAGCCAGGGGAGCAAACGGG
Molecule: ribosomal RNA, 253 nt
Filed under: uncultured bacterium
Lineage: Bacteria
Description: partial 16S ribosomal RNA
Rfam family: Bacterial small subunit ribosomal RNA
Source: RNAcentral